This is a long non-coding RNA of Astatotilapia calliptera (eastern happy), 1512 nucleotides long. The record is from Ensembl. NCBI's taxonomy places the organism in Eukaryota, Metazoa, Chordata, Actinopteri, Cichliformes, Cichlidae.
GCUACUAUCCUGCAGCUUUUAGAUGCAUCCCUAUUCCAACACAGCUGAAUCAAAUGGUUUGAUUACCUCUUCAGCAUGCCAUCAUGUUUGGCAAAGGCCUGAUAACAAGCCAUUCAUUUGAUUCGGGUGUGUGGGAACAAGGAUGCACCUAAAAGCUGCAGGACGGUAGCUCUCGAGGACCGGGAUUGGGCACCCCUGAUAUAAGGGGUGGACCAAGACUUUUGCACAGUACCAUGUGAAAGGGGUUUUGAGCCGACACAGUCGGAGACAAAAGUUAAUUUACUAGUGCUAGUUAUUAUAAAGCGCUGACAUUCUCUGCUACUUCAAACCCAUUUAAGUUGGGUGAAAGGAUCGCCAAAUGUUCUGCCUCUUCAGCUUCCUCCAUUUAGCUCCUCAUCCUCCCCCUCCUCCCUCAUUAUUUUCUCCCAUAAGAACUGCAGCUGAGACAGCCCUGUAAUUAUGCAUUUUAAUGGCCCUUAGACCUGCUGCCUUUCACACAGGUCUCUAUAUGCAGUGCUGCCAGCUCCUUCUGAUGCCUUCACGCUGCCUUUGUGACAGCUUCAUACAGAGUGAUGGGAAAGGAAGAAGAGACAGACAUGGGCCAAAGAAACAGACAAACAAGAAACCGCAUGUCGUUAUAAGAAAGAAAGUGAAACUGUUUCAUGUGAAUAAGAGUGUGGCCUAUCUGUGUUUCUAAAAUUGUUUUAGUUUUUUUUUUUUUUUUUUUUUGCACUGGGAUAAAAAAUCGAGGGAGGUGAGGAGGUGCAAACACAGACUUGAUGACUUGUGUGUUUUUAGGCAUGGUCAAUAAGAGAAAGGUUUGCAGUUUUAUUGGCAUUGAUUAGAGCGUUAUACCAUACAUUGUUGGAAGAUAAUUACAUUAACUGGUCUCGCUUAAUCGCAUUAGGAAUGCGAGAGAAGGGAAUGGAGUAUGUCAUAUCCUCGCAGAUACACACAUCAUAGCCUCGGCCGUUCUGCUUAGUUGGUUUAUCUGGCAGGAGGCCAAGCACCUAUAAGAGCUGUAGGAAAUUUGCUGACUUCACUGACAACUGUGCUUUUUAUUUUUUGAAAGGGUAAGGCAACAUUUUUAGGGUGAUGAUUUAUGUUGUUUCUCUGUCCUCAAUGACUGUGGAGACAACGCCAACCCAGAGAUUCUAGUUUCAGCCUAUUGUUUGGAUCGCUUGGCAGUGACAUGCCUUUGUUCCCCAAAAGCCAAAAUUGUACCACCUCUUAACUUCGUUCAGAAGUUGUCACAACACCUGACCUCUGGGAAAGAAUAAUCCCUGAGAGAAAGUGACAUACCGCGCCAAAGUAAGGAGCAGUUUUAGUUGAAAUGCCUCCUACGCCUCAUUGCCCUGUGACCCAUUUUAUGCAAGCACCUUCGCAGUUUGUGUCCUGUCAGUAUCUAUAAAAGCCAGUGUUCCUUAGAGGCCAGCUCAGGCUGCUCUUGAGGUUAAUUGACCCCAGGCAGUCUACCUCCCUUCACCCAAGUCAUGGGGGGACCACUCGGUG